AGUUCCCCGGCUGGCUGCGGUCACUGGUGCCAGUGCUCAGGCGCCUGCUGCCCUUGACCUCCCGCCCCGCGAGCCCUAACUCAGCUCAGGAGGACCGGCUGCCGCCGCCGCCGCCGCCAGAUCCACACAACUUAAAGAUCUGCUGCCGAGUGAAUGGGGAAGUGGUCCAGAGCAGCAACACCAACCAGAUGGUAUUCAAGACAGAGGACCUGAUAGCCUGGGUCUCCCAGUGAGUGACAGGGGCUGUCCUGCCAGCCCCGCUCCACCUGCCACACAUGUGGAGGCUGACCUGAGCCCUCCACCUUUGGCUGUGGCCACCUCAGCCAGCCCCUGGUCUCACCGGGUCCUUUUGCUUUGCUCCAGGUUUGUCACCUUUUACCCAGGGGAUGUCAUCCUGACUGGGACUCCCCCAGGUGUCGGUGUAUUCAGGAAACCUCCUGUCUUUCUCAAGGUAGGUUAGCGAAAAGCAAAGAGAGCAAGGGCCCCAAAGGCCUGGCAGGCUUGGCUCA
RNAcentral lists this small RNA (509 nucleotides) under Pongo abelii (Sumatran orangutan). Its description in RNAcentral is "retained intron". Lineage: Eukaryota; Metazoa; Chordata; Mammalia; Primates; Hominidae. The record is from RNAcentral.